RNAcentral lists this ribosomal RNA (1288 nucleotides) under uncultured bacterium. Its description in RNAcentral is "bacterial SSU rRNA". It matches the Rfam family "Bacterial small subunit ribosomal RNA", at positions 85 to 1399 of the family's 1533-position model. The record is from RNAcentral.
UUUAAUUCUAGUGGCGGACGGGUGAGUAACGCGUGGGUAACCUGCCUCAUACAGGGGGAUAACAGUUAGAAAUGACUGCUAAUACCGCAUAAGACCACGGUACCGCAUGGUACAGUGGUAAAAACUCCGGUGGUAUGAGAUGGACUCGCGUCUGAUUAGGUAGUUGGUGGGGUAACGGCCUACCAAGCCGACGAUCGGUAGCCGGACUGAGAGGUUGAACGGCCACAUUGGGACUGAGACACGGCCCAGACUCCUACGGGAGGCAGCAGUGGGGAAUAUUGCACAAUGGGGGAAACCCUGAUGCAGCGACGCCGCGUGGAGGAAGAAGGUCUUCGGAUUGUAAACUCCUGUUGUUGAGGAAGAUAAUGACGGUACUCAACAAGGAAGUGACGGCUAACUACGUGCCAGCAGCCGCGGUAAAACGUAGGUCACAAGCGUUGUCCGGAAUUACUGGGUGUAAAGGGAGCGCAGGCGGGAGAACAAGUUGGAAGUGAAAUCCAUGGGCUCAACCCAUGAACUGCUUUCAAAACUGUUUUUCUUGAGUAGUGCAGAGGUAGGCGGAAUUCCCGGUGUAGCGGUGGAAUGCGUAGAUAUCGGGAGGAACACCAGUGGCGAAGGCGGCCUACUGGGCACCAACUGACGCUGAGGCUCGAAAGUGUGGGUAGCAAACAGGAUUAGAUACCCUGGUAGUCCACACCGUAAACGAUGAUUACUAGGUGGUGGAAGAUUGACCCCUUCUAGGCCCCCAUUACACAAUAAGUAAUCCACCCUGGGGAGUUCGGCCGCAAGGUUGAAACUCAAAGGAAUUGCCGGGGGCCCGCUCAAGCAGUGGAGUAUGUGGUUUAAUUCGACGCAACGCGAAGAACCUUACCAAGUCUUGACAUCCCUUGGCGAACAUAGAAAUAUGUUUUCUCUUCGGAGCAAGGAGACAGGUGGUGCAUGGUUGUCGUCAGCUCGUGUCGUGAGAUGUUGGGUUAAGUCCCGCAACGAGCGCAACCCUUAUGGUCAGUUACUACGCAAGAGGACUCUGGCCAGACUGCCGUUGACAAAACGGAGGAAGGUGGGGAUGACGUCAAAUCAUCAUGCCCUUUAUGACUUGGGCUACACACGUACUACAAUGGCGUUAAACAAAGAGAAGCAAGACCGCGAGGUGGAGCAAAACUCAGAAACAACGUCCCAGUUCGGACUGCAGGCUGCAACUCGCCUGCACGAAGUCGGAAUUGCUAGUAAUCGUGGAUCAGCAUGCCACGGUGAAUACGUUCCCGGGCCUUGUACACAAAGCCCGUCA